ACGGUGAUGGUGGGGGUAAUAUAAUGGUGAUAGUUAAAGUAGUAAUUAUUGAUAGUCAUCUUAUUGCAAAACGAAAAAUUGUCCUUAUUAUCUUUAAUUGCUACGGUCGAGAUAAAUUGAACGUGGAAAAAAAUGGCGGUCUUGCUACGAUCGAGUUUACUCGAUUUGGACUUACAAUGUUGCAGGGAUUUGAAGAGAACUAGGUUCGGUCCUGGCGUUAGUGAUAAUAAGUGACUGGUCAUUGGCUAAGGAUAAGUGGGAAGUACAUGUCAUUGAGUGGAAAGGGAAAGAAAAUAAAGAGAAAUGAACAGAUUACAUCACUGAAUAAGUUGCGACAUCCAAUAAAAUUGACGAGGCAAUCAUCUUACGUGUGAUUUUUUUCUCUGCUAACGAUAAAAAUGGAAAGUCUAAAUAAUAUUGUAAG
RNAcentral lists this long non-coding RNA (424 nucleotides) under Harpegnathos saltator (Jerdon's jumping ant). Its description in RNAcentral is "uncharacterized LOC112588364, transcript variant X1". The record is from RNAcentral. Lineage: Eukaryota; Metazoa; Arthropoda; Insecta; Hymenoptera; Formicidae.